Molecule: ribosomal RNA, 706 nt
Filed under: Escherichia coli
Lineage: Bacteria; Pseudomonadati; Pseudomonadota; Gammaproteobacteria; Enterobacterales; Enterobacteriaceae
Description: partial 23S ribosomal RNA
Rfam family: Bacterial large subunit ribosomal RNA
Source: RNAcentral
GAUGUUCUAACGUUGACCCGUAAUCCGGGUUGCGGACAGUGUCUGGUGGGUAGUUUGACUGGGGCGGUCUCCUCCUAAAGAGUAACGGAGGAGCACGAAGGUUGGCUAAUCCUGGUCGGACAUCAGGAGGUUAGUGCAAUGGCAUAAGCCAGCUUGACUGCGAGCGUGACGGCGCGAGCAGGUGCGAAAGCAGGUCAUAGUGAUCCGGUGGUUCUGAAUGGAAGGGCCAUCGCUCAACGGAUAAAAGGUACUCCGGGGAUAACAGGCUGAUACCGCCCAAGAGUUCAUAUCGACGGCGGUGUUUGGCACCUCGAUGUCGGCUCAUCACAUCCUGGGGCUGAAGUAGGUCCCAAGGGUAUGGCUGUUCGCCAUUUAAAGUGGUACGCGAGCUGGGUUUAGAACGUCGUGAGACAGUUCGGUCCCUAUCUGCCGUGGGCGCUGGAGAACUGAGGGGGGCUGCUCCUAGUACGAGAGGACCGGAGUGGACGCAUCACUGGUGUUCGGGUUGUCAUGCCAAUGGCACUGCCCGGUAGCUAAAUGCGGAAGAGAUAAGUGCUGAAAGCAUCUAAGCACGAAACUUGCCCCGAGAUGAGUUCUCCCUGACUCCUUGAGAGUCCUGAAGGAACGUUGAAGACGACGACGUUGAUAGGCCGGGUGUGUAAGCGCAGCGAUGCGUUGAGCUAACCGGUACUAAUGAACCGUGAGG